UAAAUUCAGUCUUUCCAGAGUGGAUUUUUAUCAGUGAAGUGUUAAUUCAAGCAGUGAGCAUAAAGGAAUAGUGAAUAAUUCAAAACAAAACAAGCUGAACUCUAAACAUCUGAAUCCUCAAAAACUUUAUUAAGAGGAAGGCAGUAGCCAAGUGAAGCAGCUGGAAUCACACUGAAGUCACUCUGAACUCUACAGAUCACUUCGUUCUUCCUUCUGCUACAGAGAGCACAUCCCUGACUUACAGCGUACUUUCUUCUG
This 258-nucleotide long non-coding RNA is filed under the name Gallus gallus (chicken). RNAcentral describes it as "long non-coding RNA NONGGAT008482". Lineage: Eukaryota; Metazoa; Chordata; Aves; Galliformes; Phasianidae. The record is from RNAcentral.